Corticium candelabrum is the source of this 376-nucleotide long non-coding RNA. RefSeq lists it as uncharacterized. NCBI's taxonomy places the organism in Eukaryota, Metazoa, Porifera, Homoscleromorpha, Homosclerophorida, Plakinidae. The transcript has 2 exons. The record is from RefSeq and is a predicted model, not a curated record.
UAGGUUCCUCUCCCGUUUAUACCAAACGUGUCUAAGCAAGAAAUCGGUGACAAAUACAUUCCUGCCGAGUUCAAGUUGGAUACAGUAGCGAAUACACCAUCAGACCGUGCAAGUGCUCUGCAUGGUGGGGAAGGAGAGCCAUUUGAGCAGUCUACGUUUGUGGGUGACAAAGGCAAUCUGCACACAUGAUUUCGUUUGUAGGAUUUUUGUGGGAUAUCGUACAUUUCAAGUUGAUCGUGAUUGGAUAGGAGGAAUGAACUGUUCUAGGUUCAUGUUUUUAUUAUUCUUGUAUUGUCGUCUAUUAGCAGUGUAUGUGAAGUUUUCAACACUAGAAUGUGUUCAGCAGUUAAUUAAAGUGUUUGACAGUGCGUCUGUA